RNAcentral lists this ribosomal RNA (253 nucleotides) under uncultured bacterium. RNAcentral's name for it is "partial 16S ribosomal RNA". It matches the Rfam family "Bacterial small subunit ribosomal RNA", at positions 524 to 776 of the family's 1533-position model. The record is from RNAcentral.
GACAGAGGGUGCAAGCGUUGUUCGGAAUUAUUGGGCGUAAAGCGCGCGUAGGCGGCUUGGUAAGUCGAAUGUGAAAUCCCGUGGCUUAACCAUGGAAGUGCAUUCGAAACUGCCUCGCUCGAGUGUCGGAGAGGGUGGUGGAAUUCCCAGUGUAGAGGUGAAAUUCGUAGAUAUUGGGAGGAACACCAGUGGCGAAGGCGACCGCCUGGACGACAACUGACGCUGAGGCGCGAGAGCGUGGGGAGCAAACAGG